RNAcentral lists this ribosomal RNA (500 nucleotides) under uncultured bacterium. Its description in RNAcentral is "partial 16S ribosomal RNA". It matches the Rfam family "Bacterial small subunit ribosomal RNA", at positions 30 to 523 of the family's 1533-position model. The record is from RNAcentral.
AUUGAACGCUGGCGGAAUGCUUUACACAUGCAAGUCGAACGGCAGCACGGACUUCGGUCUGGUGGCGAGUGGCGAACGGGUGAGUAAUGUAUCGGAACGUGCCCAGUCGUGGGGGAUAACGUAGUGAAAAUUACGCUAAUACCGCAUACGAUCUAUGGAUGAAAGCGGGGGAUCGCAAGACCUCGCGCGAUUGGAGCGGCCGAUAUCAGACUAGGUAGGUGGUGGGGUAAAGGCCGACCAAGCCAACGAUCUGUAGCUGGUCUGAGAAGACGACCAGCCACACUGGAACUGAGACACGGGCCAGACUCCUACGGGAGGCAGCAGUGGGGAACUUUGGACAAUGGGCGAAAGCCUGAUCCAGCCAUUCCGCGUGCAGGAUGAAGGCCCUCGGGUUGUAAACUGCUUUUGUACAGAACGAAAAGGUUUCUACUAAUACUAGGAGCUCAUGACGGUACUGUAAGAAUAAGCACCGGCUAACUACGUGCCAGCCGCCGCGGUAA